UUGAUGAGCGAUUUUGAGGUAGAAAGACGUCGAGAGAAAGGUUUGAGAGAUGAUUGCGAGCGACUUCGUAAGAGGGACGAGAGUGGCGAGUUUGUACGAGAAUGUCGUUGGGUGGAAAGGAUGAGUUCGUGAGGUUGGGGAGAGGGUGAAGGAAGACGAGCGUCUGUUUCUUCGUUCCCAUUUCUUUUUUUUCUUUUUUUUUUCUUUUUUAAUUUAAUUUAAUUUAAUUUGUUUUAACAGAGAUAAACAAAAAAACAUAAAAAUGUUUAUAUGUUAGUAUUUUCUUUUAUUGUUCUUUUUAUUUUUUAUCUUAAUCUUUUUUUAUUUCAUUUUUAUCCCGGUUUAUAUAUUUAACGUAGCAUCACAAUAGCAGAUAAUCAUGAGUGGUCUGUUGGGGAAGGACAGUAUUCUAGUUUUGAGUGGGGUGGGUUCAAUACUCAUAUGUAGUAUUUUUUUGGUUUAGUAUGUUUUUUUUUUCCUUUUAGCGUUUUAUUUUAGUAUUUUAUUUCUUUUAACAUUUUCUUUUGAUGUUAUACUCAUAGUUUCAUUUGUUAAUAAUGCAAAGUUGUUGUCUUUUAAUUUAAUUCAAAACCAUUUUAAAAAAAACUAUAAAAAUCAUAUUUUUCUCGAUUUAAUAUCGAGCCCAUUUUUCCAUACCCUUGUAAGUCGAUUGCUUUUUAAGCAUCGCCAUCAACCUCACAUAGCUUACUCUUGGGCUUCCUUACAAUGAGACAUGUCCCUUGCACUUACACUCAUACAUUGUUUAAUGCUUCAUUAUUUCAUUCUUUGAUUAUUUGAUUCGAUUAUAUACUUGUUUAUAUCUUACUUGUUUGAUUAACUGUGGCCUACUUGUAUGGUGUAUGAGGCAUGUAUUAUUAUUGUUUGUUUGCCAUGAACAAUCCCCAUUCAUAACAAAUGUAUCCCUCUCCCAUUAAAUGUAUAAUAUUUUUUCAUUCUUUAUUCAUCUGUAAAUACAAGAAUUAAAAUGAGCAUUCGAUAACCAUUUCAAAGCAAGAUCAAAACCUCGAUCCAACGUCGAGUAAUCAUUUUUUCAAAAC
This 1058-nucleotide long non-coding RNA is filed under the name Lathyrus oleraceus (garden pea). RNAcentral's name for it is "Pisum sativum (pea) long non-coding RNA (PSAT_LNC042402)". The record is from RNAcentral. Lineage: Eukaryota; Viridiplantae; Streptophyta; Magnoliopsida; Fabales; Fabaceae.